CACAUUCAGUUCCCUCAUAAGGCCUUUCUCCAGCAUGAUUUUGCUGAUAUUUAAUAAGGUUGGAGUUGUACCUAAACAAUUCCCCACAUUCACUGAACUCAUAAGGCCUCUCCCCAUUAUGGGUUUUUUGGUGCUCAAACAGCCCAUGUUGGUGGCAAAAGUCUUUCCCACCUUGGCUGGAGUUGAAAUCAUUCUGUUCGCCUUGAAAGGCUUCCCCAUCCUGGGUAUCCCUGUAUAGCUUCCACCCACUGUUUAAGACCUGUUGCUGGAGAAGGUCUGAGCUGGCAGUAAAAUCCUUGCCACCCUGCGUGCAUGUGAAGUUCCUCUCUCCCACGUGAGCACUGUGGUUCACAAAUGAAGGCCUCCACUCAUCACUUCUGGUGAGCUUCU
This 390-nucleotide long non-coding RNA is filed under the name Pan troglodytes (chimpanzee). Its description in RNAcentral is "long non-coding RNA NONPTRT008654". The record is from RNAcentral. Lineage: Eukaryota; Metazoa; Chordata; Mammalia; Primates; Hominidae.